RNAcentral lists this transfer RNA (68 nucleotides) under Holothuria forskali. Its description in RNAcentral is "transfer RNA-Ala". It matches the Rfam family "tRNA". From Rfam's summary of the family: Transfer RNA (tRNA) molecules are approximately 80 nucleotides in length. Their secondary structure includes four short double-helical elements and three loops (D, anti-codon, and T loops). Lineage: Eukaryota; Metazoa; Echinodermata; Holothuroidea; Aspidochirotida; Holothuriidae. The record is from RNAcentral.
GUGAUUUUAGUUUAUUAUAAAACGCUUGCUUUGCACGCAUGAGAUCUAGGAAUUUCCUGGAAACCACA